GAAAUGCGAUAAGUAAUGUGAAUUGCAGAAUUCAGUGGAUCAUCGAAUCUUUGAACGCACCUUGCGCUCCUUGGUAUUCCUUGGAGCAUGCCUGUUUGAGUAUCAUGAAAUCUUCAAAGUAAAUCUUUUGUUAACUCAAUUGGCUUCUACUUUGGUAUUGGAGGUCUUUGCAGCUUCACACCUGCUCCUCUUUGUUCAUUAGCUGGAUCUCAGUGUUAUGCUUGGUUCCACUCGGCGUGAUAAGUUAUCUAUCGCUGAGGACACUGUAAAAGGUGGCCAAGGUAAAUGCAGAUGAACCGCUUCUAAUAGUCCAUUGACUUGGACAAUACUUUUAUGAUCUGAUCUCAAAUCAGGUAGGACUACCCGCUGAACUUAAGC
This 378-nucleotide unclassified non-coding RNA is filed under the name plant metagenome. RNAcentral describes it as "partial contains 5.8S ribosomal RNA, internal transcribed spacer 2, and large subunit ribosomal RNA". The stretch from base 1 to 105 matches the Rfam family "5.8S ribosomal RNA", at positions 50 to 154 of the family's 154-position model. The record is from RNAcentral.